RNAcentral lists this ribosomal RNA (441 nucleotides) under uncultured Proteiniclasticum sp. RNAcentral describes it as "bacterial SSU rRNA". It matches the Rfam family "Bacterial small subunit ribosomal RNA", at positions 338 to 796 of the family's 1533-position model. Lineage: Bacteria; Bacillati; Bacillota; Clostridia; Eubacteriales; Clostridiaceae. The record is from RNAcentral.
CCUACGGGGGGCAGCAGUGGGGAAUAUUGCACAAUGGGCGAAAGCCUGAUGCAGCAACGCCGCGUGAGUGAUGAAGGCCUUCGGGUCGUAAAGCUCUUUGAUCAGGGAUGAUAAUGACAGUACCUGAAAAACAAGCCACGGCUAACUACGUGCCAGCAGCCGCGGUAAUACGUAGGUGGCGAGCGUUGUCCGGAAUUACUGGGCGGAAAGGAUGCGUAGGUGGAUACUUAAGUGGGAUGUGAAAUCCCCGGGCUCAACCCGGGAACUGCAUUCCAAACUGGGUAUCUAGAGUGCAGGAGAGGAAAGCGGAAUUCCUAGUGUAGCGGUGAAAUGCGUAGAUAUUAGGAGGAACACCAGUGGCGAAGGCGGCUUUCUGGACUGUAACUGACACUGAGGCAUGAAAGCGUGGGUAGCAAACAGGAUUAGAUACCCUGGUAGUCA